CAAUCUGCCUUGGAGUGGGGAAUAACGGCUGGAAACAGCCGCUAAUACCGCAUGACGCGUCUGGGAGGCAUCUCUCUGGACGCCAAAGAUUUAUCGCUCUGAGAUGAGCUCGCGUCUGAUUAGCUAGUUGGCGGGGUAACGGCCCACCAAGGCGACGAUCAGUAGCCGGACUGAGAGGUUGGCCGGCCACAUUGGGACUGAGACACGGCCCAGACUCCUACGGGAGGCAGCAG
This 233-nucleotide ribosomal RNA is filed under the name uncultured bacterium. RNAcentral describes it as "partial 16S ribosomal RNA". It matches the Rfam family "Bacterial small subunit ribosomal RNA", at positions 122 to 354 of the family's 1533-position model. The record is from RNAcentral.